Molecule: unclassified non-coding RNA, 552 nt
Filed under: Hevea brasiliensis (rubber tree)
Lineage: Eukaryota; Viridiplantae; Streptophyta; Magnoliopsida; Malpighiales; Euphorbiaceae
Source: RNAcentral
AGGGAUCUGUGUCCAUUAGCAUGACAUUGAACCAAACAACCUUUUGCUUUGUCUGCACACAUUUGACAUCUGGGGAGAAGGAAGGUGAUGAAGUAAAAAGAAACUCAGAUGUGAGUGAAAUUUUGAAGAAAACUAGGUUUUCUCAUUCUUGUAGAGCUACAACUGGAGCACAGCCACCUUCUCCAGAGACCAUAUUGGAUCAUGACAAGGUCAUCUGGCUUGGGGAUCUGAAUUAUCGGCUUUCGACUGGCUGUGGGGAAACAUAUGAGCUUCUUAGGAAAAACGAUUGGCAGGCACUUCUAGAGAAAGAUCAGCUAAGGUUAGAGCAAAAGGCUGGUCGAGUGUUUAAAGGGUGGGAAGAAGGAAGAAUACAGUUUGCUCCAACUUACAAAUAUAUAACCAAUUCUGACCAUUAUGUUGCAUUGACCUCGAACUCCAAGCCAUCUAAAGAGAAACGCCGCACUCCAGCUUGGUGCGAUCGGAUAUUAUGGAGAGGGGUAGGAAUGAAGCAGAUGUGGUAUGUUAGAGGGGAGUGCAGAUUCUCAGAUCACG